This 509-nucleotide ribosomal RNA is filed under the name uncultured bacterium. RNAcentral's name for it is "bacterial SSU rRNA". It matches the Rfam family "Bacterial small subunit ribosomal RNA", at positions 791 to 1302 of the family's 1533-position model. The record is from RNAcentral.
UAGUCCACGCUGUAAACGAUGGAUACUAGGUGUAGGAGGUAUCGACCCCUUCUGUGCCGGAGUUAACACAUUAAGUAUCCCACCUGGGGAGUACGGUCGCAAGACUGAAACUCAAAGGAAUUGACGGGGACCCGCACAAGCAGUGGAGUAUGUGGUUUAAUUCGAAGCAACGCGAAGAACCUUACCAGGUCUUGACAUCCCUUGCAUAGCAUAGAGAUAUGUGAAAUCCUUCGGGACAAGGAGACAGGUGGUGCAUGGUUGUCGUCAGCUCGUGUCGUGAGGUGUUGGGUUAAGUCCCGCAACGAGCGCAACCCUUAUUGUUAGUUGCCAUCAUUAAGUUGGGCACUCUAGCGAGACUGCCGGUGAUAAAUCGGAGGAAGGUGGGGAUGACGUCAAAUCAUCAUGCCCCUUAUGACCUGGGCUACACACGUACUACAAUGGCUAUAACAGAGGGCAGCGAAGUCGCAAGGCGGAGCCAAACCCCAAAGAUAGUCCCAGUUCGGAUUGGU